Populus trichocarpa (black cottonwood) is the source of this 2116-nucleotide RNA transcript. It is a transcript of the gene named ATP-dependent kinase-like protein notR', with no coding region annotated. Lineage: Eukaryota; Viridiplantae; Streptophyta; Magnoliopsida; Malpighiales; Salicaceae. The record is from RefSeq and is a predicted model, not a curated record. The transcript has 6 exons.
CUUAUUAUCGGCGGGACAGAGCAGCAGGAACAUUGAGAAACCAGAGUAGUUUUCUUCACUCUAUACUCCAAUAUUAUCAAUCAUCCGUGUUCAGUUUUGCGACAUGUGGCAGUUAUUGAGGUCUCUUCAUUAUCGACAACCUCGACCAGCUAUCCGUGUUCCUCGACAGGUCUCUCACUUUGUCUCCUCCUUGUUGCAAUCAUGAAAAAAGAGCUGCUGAUCCGUUUCUUUUCAGAAUCGGUCUUCCUGCGUUCGAUUUCUAUCUGCUCUCUACUUCUGUGAUAUAUUUUAUUGUUAUUCUCUUCUGUGUUUUUUAACAUUUUUGCUGAAAAGUUUAAAAAAAUCAUGAUUUAAUAAUGUUAAUUUGUAUUUUUAUUAUCUGUGGUAUCAGAUUUUGGGCAGUCAAAAGAGAGAGAUUCCUAAUGUUGUGGCUGCUUCCAUGGAUGGGUUCCGUCUAUGUUGUUCCGAGCUUGAUGCAAUGGAGGCUAAGCUUGCUUCAUGGUCGUUUGCUUUUGUUUUUGAAACUUUUUCAGAUGUAUCUCAGUGUCAGCUAUCACUCUUGCAUUAUAGCUUACUGGGGAAGCCCAUGCCAGAAGGGGAGUCGAGCUUGAUUUUAUUUUUUCACAUCUAAACCCAGCAUUCAAGUUUUGAUUCUUUUGUGGGUGAAUCAGCUUCAUGGACAUUUGCCCCAACCCUAUUGCCUAGAUGUCUGGAGAAGUUGAGGAAAGAGUGAUCAGUUUAUGCACCAUCUUGGAUCAUGGUGUUGGAGAUCCAGAAGAAGAUGGAUAUCUUUGCAUAUAAAGUGGUCAUAGCUGAAGGAAAUUAUAUAUUGUUGGAAGAUGGGGCUUGGAAGGAUGUGUCUUCAAUGUUUGAUGAGAAGUGGUACGUGUUAUGUUCUUGCUAGGCCAGGACGUGUCUUCAAUGUUUGAUAAGAAAUGGUUUAUUGAUGUGGACAUUGAUACAGAAAGGCAGAUAGUUUUAAAGAGACACAUUUCAAAAGGCAUGGGCUCAUUUUCUGUUUUUACUGGUUACUGCUCCUACAGUUCUACUAGGGAAAGGAAAGAAAGUCUUGUGAUUUUAAUUCUAUGUUGUCUAACAGGAAAGCCUCCAGAUGUUUCAAAAUGGCGGGUAAGCCUCACUUUGUUGUCAUCUUCAAACUUGGUUUUUUUUCGGAUUGCUGGUUUUUCUACAUCAAUCUUACUUUCUUGAUUGUAAAUGUAAUGUGGAAUUAAAUUCAUCUGCAGAUAGUACAACGACCAGCGUAAUGCAGAUUUAGUAAUCAGGUCUAUCAAUUUCUAGAAUUGAUAUGAUGAACUAAUGGAGAAAGAGAAAAGAGAUCGUAUUAACUUAAUGGAAACUGAAAAAAUUAAUAAAUAAAUGAAGGAUAUGGCUUCUUCUUUUUUCUCCUUGCUUCUAACAUUUUCAUUCAUGUGUUGAUUUGUUACUUCAAGAUUCAGACUAACCAAGUUAUUCAAAAUGCAGUUUCUAUAGAAGCAAGUUAAUGCCUGGUUCCCUUUAUAGUUUGUACAGAGAGAAGUCAAUAGACUGUAAAACCUGAUUCCUUUGGGCACCUAACACGGGAAAUUGUGAUCUGAUUAAUUGAUUUGUGGCACAAAGUCGGAAACUACUUUAGUUGCUUGUUAAGCAUAAUAGCAUCUCACUGACCAGGUAAAUAAUUGCUGUACAAAGAGAUGCCUUGAUUGUUUUACAGAUAAUGUGUUGCAAAAUGUUUCUCGAGAUAGUUGCUUAUGACCUUUAUGUGCUGCUCUCUUCUUUGUUCUUAAAAUUCUAAGUGGUUUGACUGUUGAAUUUCUGGGGACAAACUGCAGCCUCUGUUAACGGUAAAUGGAAUUAUUCUAUAUUCUAAAUAUGUGAAAUAUAUUGCUCACCCUUAGGCUGCAUAAUGUUGCCUGAGACAAGUCGGAACAUGGUCUGGAGGCUGCAUGACAUGUUUGCUUGAAUGCAUUGGAAAGGCCAUUCAUAUCCCCCACGAAGUCGGGCUAAUUUCUCCUCCAAGAACAAAAGACGAUGGCAGAUUGGUGUCCAGAUUUCCAAACAACAAAAGCCGAAGAUUAGGUGUGGUUUACGGUUUCAUGGCUACCCUGUUCGUCACUAA